This 433-nucleotide ribosomal RNA is filed under the name uncultured bacterium. RNAcentral's name for it is "partial 16S ribosomal RNA". It matches the Rfam family "Bacterial small subunit ribosomal RNA", at positions 29 to 507 of the family's 1533-position model. The record is from RNAcentral.
AACGAACGCUGGCGGCAUGCCUAACACAUGCCAGUCGAACGAGACCUUCGGGUCUAGUGGCGCACGGGUGCGUAACGCGUGGGAAUCUGCCCUUAGGUUCGGAAUAACUCCCCGAAAGGGGUGCUAAUACCGGAUAAUGUCUUCGGACCAAAGAUUUAUCGCCUUUGGAUGGGCCCGCGUUGGAUUAGCUAGUUGGUAGGGUAAAAGCCUACCAAGGCGACGAUCCAUAGCUGGUCUGAGAGGAUGAUCAGCCACACUGGGACUGAGACACGGCCCAGACUCCUACGGGAGGCAGCAGUGGGGAAUAUUGGACAAUGGGCGAAAGCCUGAUCCAGCAAUGCCGCGUGAGUGAUGAAGGCCUUAGGGUUGUAAAGCUCUUUUACCCGGGAUGAUAAUGACAGUACCGGGAGAAUAAGCUCCGGCUAACUCCGUG